UACGGAGGGGGCGAGCGUUAUUCGGAAUUAUUGGGCGUAAAGGGCGCGUAGGCGGCCUUGUAAGUCAAAGGUGAAAUCCCUCGGCUCAACUGAGGAACUGCCUUUGAAACUGCAAGGCUUGAGGCCGGGAGGGGGUAGCGGAAUUCCCAAUGUAGCGGUGAAAUGCGCAGAUAUUGGGAAGAACACCCGUGGCGAAGGCGGCUCUCUGGAACGCAACUGACGCUGAGACGCGAAAGCGUGGGGAGCAAACAGG
Molecule: ribosomal RNA, 253 nt
Filed under: uncultured bacterium
Lineage: Bacteria
Description: partial 16S ribosomal RNA
Rfam family: Bacterial small subunit ribosomal RNA
Source: RNAcentral